AUGGAUGCGUUGGAGCUGCGCUUCGGGCGGUACGUGCUUCUGGCAACCGCGGUCGGAGACGGCAAGCAGGCAGUGACGCCGGCAGCCAUGCUGGCGACCUUGCGGCAGCAUUGCGGGGUGGUGCCGUCUGAGGUGGUCAUUGAGGUCGCAUGCCCACCACACGACCUGUGGCUGACGUUCUCGACGGAGGAGAAGUGCUCUGAGGUGCUCUUGUUGUCAAUGAGGAUCAAGUGUUGCCGGUGUUGGAUUCAAUUUUCGCGUUGGUGCAGAAUGGUUCGUGCUCAGCCAGGUGCUCUGAAGUACAAGAGCAAGCUCAGCUUUGAAGGCCUCCCUAACCAGGCCUGGACGACGGCGUCCGUGAAAGAUGUUCUCAAGCAGCUGGGUGGCGAGCUGAUCAAGAUCCUGCCGCCGGCAAGCCGCCGCGAGCUUGAGGUAAUUGCGUGGCUUCAUGACCCUUCGUCUGUUGGCAAGGUGGUGACAGUGGAGAUACCUGAGCCGAAGCAGACAAACAAGCCACCCGAGUCCAUGGAUGAGUAUGAAGCAAUGCAAUUUGAAUUGGGUGACUACGGACCGUCGUCGCCGAGGAAGAAGAACAGCUUACUGUAUCCUGUCAUUUGCCACAUGAAGGAGGUUGUCGAUCGUGGUCCUCUGCUUGCUGAAGGACUGCCUGAUGAGUGGCUGCCAGUAGAAGGCGAGGACCUGACUCGCAAGCAUAUCUUCAAGAUUGUGCUGGGCAAGAUCGAUGGCACUGACGUUGCUGAAGGAGUUUGA
RNAcentral lists this ribosomal RNA (771 nucleotides) under Triticum aestivum (bread wheat). RNAcentral describes it as "partial small subunit ribosomal RNA". Lineage: Eukaryota; Viridiplantae; Streptophyta; Magnoliopsida; Poales; Poaceae. The record is from RNAcentral.